AAGUAAAAGUCGUAACAAGGUUUCCGUAGGUGAACCUGCGGAAGGAUCAUUACCUAGAGUUGCGGGCUUUGCCUGCCAUCUCUUACCCAUGUCUUUUGAGUACCUUCGUUUCCUCGGCGGGUUCGCCCGCCGGUUGGACAACACUUAAACCCUUUGUAAUUGAAAUCAGCGUCUGAAAAACUUUAAUGGUUACAACUUUCAACAACGGAUCUCUUGGUUCUGGCAUCGAUGAAGAACGCAGCGAAAUGCGAUAAGUAGUGUGAAUUGCAGAAUUCAGUGAAUCAUCGAAUCUUUGAACGCACAUUGCGCCCCUUGGUAUUCCAUGGGGCAUGCCUGUUCGAGCGUCAUUUGUACCUUCAAGCUCUGCUUGGUGUUGGGUGUUUGUCUCGCCUUCUGCGCGCAGACUCGCCUCAAAACAAUUGGCAGCCGGCGUAUUGAUUUCGGAGCGCAGUACAUCUCGCGCUUUGCACUCAUAACGACGACGUCCAAAAAGUACAUUUUUUACACUCUUGACCUCGGAUCAGGUAGGGAUACCCGCUGAACUUAAGC
Molecule: ribosomal RNA, 549 nt
Filed under: Stagonosporopsis cucurbitacearum
Lineage: Eukaryota; Fungi; Ascomycota; Dothideomycetes; Pleosporales; Didymellaceae
Description: eukaryotic LSU rRNA
Rfam family: 5.8S ribosomal RNA (bases 194-347)
Source: RNAcentral